UACGUAGGGUGCAAGCGUUAAUCGGAAUUACUGGGCGUAAAGCGUGCGCAGGCGGUCUUGCAAGACAGAUGUGAAAUCCCCGGGCUUAACCUGGGAACUGCAUUUGUGACUGCAAGGCUGGAGUGCGGCAGAGGGGGAUGGAAUUCCGCGUGUAGCAGUGAAAUGCGUAGAUAUGCGGAGGAACACCGAUGGCGAAGGCAAUCCCCUGGGCCUGCACUGACGCUCAUGCACGAAAGCGUGGGGAGCAAACAGG
Molecule: ribosomal RNA, 253 nt
Filed under: uncultured bacterium
Lineage: Bacteria
Description: partial 16S ribosomal RNA
Rfam family: Bacterial small subunit ribosomal RNA
Source: RNAcentral